UGCAAGUCGAACGAAGUCUUCGGACUGAGUGGCGGACGGGUGAGUAACGCGUGAGAAUCUGCCUAGAGGUCGGGGACAACCAUUGGAAACGAUGGCUAAUACCGGAUAUGCCUUACGGGGUGAAAGAUUAAUUGCCUUUAGAAGAGCUCGCGUCUGAUUAGCUAGUUGGUGAGGUAAGAGCUCACCAAGGCAGCGAUCAGUAGCUGGUCUGAGAGGAUGACCAGCCACACUGGGACUGAGACACGGCCCAGACCCCUACGGGAGGCAGCAGUGGGGAAUUUUCCGCAAUGGGCGAAAGCCUGACGGAGCAAGACCGCGUGAGGGAGGAAGGCUCUUGGGUUGUAAACCUCUUUUGUCAGGGAAGAACACAAUGACGGUACCUGACGAAUCAGCAUCGGCUAACUCCGUGCCAGCAGCCGCGGUAAUACGGAGGAUGCAAGCGUUAUCCGGAAUUAUUGGGCGUAAAGCGUCCGCAGGUGGCUGAUCAAGUCUGCGGUCAAAGACCGGGGCUUAACCCUGGAAAGGCCGUGGAAACUGAUAAAGCUAGAGUACCGUAGGGGUAGAGGGAAUUCCCGGUGUAGCGGUGAAAUGCGUAGAGAUCGGGAAGAACAUCGGUGGCGAAAGCGCUCUACUGGACGGUGACUGACACUCAGGGACGAAAGCUAGGGGAGCGAAUGGGAUUAGAUACCCCAGUAGUCCUAGCCGUA
This 707-nucleotide ribosomal RNA is filed under the name uncultured cyanobacterium. RNAcentral's name for it is "bacterial SSU rRNA". It matches the Rfam family "Bacterial small subunit ribosomal RNA", at positions 56 to 804 of the family's 1533-position model. Lineage: Bacteria; Bacillati; Cyanobacteriota. The record is from RNAcentral.